AUACAUUGUUUGUGUGCUAAUUUUUCGUCGUUUCGUAAGAUUUUCGACGAGUUCUUUGUUGUUGAUAUUUGAUUUUCGACCGAUUAUGAUGGUUCCGAUUUAUUCCGACGUUUCCGAGGAAAGCAAGCUUACUGUCUUCGGAAGUCGUCAUAGAUUGGAUUCUAUUGUACACAGCAUUUGUACUUCAGGUGAUAGAGACAGAUAUGAGAUUUUAGGUGAUUGGGCUGUCGCAUCGUAUGUCACGCGUAUGCUGACAGAUCUCUUCAAACAUAAUGCUGAUGCUGAAUCUCUGUCGUUGCUUCGCGCUCAUAAUAUUUCUAAUGUUAUGUUCGCAAAAGUCAUGGUAGAAUCAAAACUCUUCGAAGAUUUUUAUCUUUGGUUGACUCCCGACCAAAUGCAGUUGUGUAGGAAGACUUUCGCCGGUGGGAGAAGUUUGUAUGAGGUCAAUGUUAAAUUCUUAGCCAACUAUUUUGAGAGAAUCGUUGGUUGGUUGGUUGUGCAUGAUUGUUCAGAAAGUGUUGAGAAGUUUCUUGAUCUUUUCUUGAAACCUCAUAUGUCUUUCCACAUUAAGAAACCUGCCCGUUCUAUUCUUGAAGAAUGGGCUAUGAAGAAUAACAAGAGACUUGACAUUCAUACUGGUGAGUAUAAUGUCAACAAGGUAGUUUAUGUCCUAGUCGACGGACAAGAGGUCAGUCGGGCUAGUGAUUUGAUUAGUAAGAAGAGAGCAAUUUCAAAAGCGGUUUCUUUCGCUGUUGAAGCUCUAAAUCUGAGUUGAAUCCAUGGAGUACUCUGCUAUUUUUAAUGAAUGUUGUAAAGAAUGUGUGAUGUUUAACCCCAAGAAAUGUCGCUUUGAUGUGGCACUACUUUGGUCUAUUAUUGGAUUUUUUACUUUUAAUAUUAUUUUAUUGUUUGUAUAUUGCCUUUUGAGUAUUAGAAUUAGAAGGUCUUAUUAAUUAGUUAUCGUAGAUAAGUGGAAUAGAGUGAAAAACUACUGUAAUUGAUUAUUGUGAUGUGUCACAACUCACAAUUUAAUUGAUUCAGUCCAACCUGCACUAGUUUGUGGCGAGGGUGGUUGUUCGUUCGGUUUUAUUAUCUAUUUCUUUGAACGAUGAGUUCUGGAGCAAUUUACUCUGAACUUAAUCGUUUUCUUAAGUAUCUUAGGGAGUUAGAUUUUAGUAAUUUUUGUUUUAGUGAUUUUUUGUUUCGUUUUUCUUCCCUAAAAUCACUAAUCGAUGAGUAUAGUAGUCAUUGGUUAGUAAAUACGAAUGAAUUAGUCUGGUAUAGAACAAUCUGUGAGCAACGAUUGCAUCCUCAUCUUUUCGAUGCAAACAGGUUGUUAACACGGAUAAAUGUUUCAGAUUUGAAGCAUGACUUGAUAAUGAUUCGUGAUCAUUUUUCGAGUAUUGAUGAUUUUCUAAACAAGUAUCCGGCUAUACCAAUUCUUGUCUCAUUCACCAAAAAUAUUAGUGCGUUUUUAGAAGAUAAUGAGUGGGAAUCCGUUAUUCAUCAUACGGACUCACUCAAUCGUCUUGUUUUCCGAGAGUCGUGGUCAGACGGUUAUGGUUACGUUAACCACCAUCGUCUUUCAGCGUCGUCGCAUGAUUUUCAACAUAUGAAGUUAUGUGAUAUUUUUCGUUUGUCGAAGGAUAAGUUGAACAGUGGUGUGUUCACUUUCCUUCUUUAAUGUUUUCUUUUAGUAUAUUAAUAAAAAUCGAUAAAGAUAUUAGGGUAGAUUUGAUUGAUGUUUAUACCCUAGAGUCAUACACCUGAGAGAUUCGGAGUGUGUAUUAUAAAAACUCAAAAAAUAUAUGUUUCGUAUACGUAUUUCUAUUUAGAGUGUGUGUAUGAACGGUUUUCCUAAAUCGUCGUGAGACGGACCUUGGAAAACCUAGUAUUUAAAUAACUAGGUC
Molecule: unclassified non-coding RNA, 1910 nt
Filed under: Sweet potato chlorotic stunt virus
Lineage: Riboviria; Orthornavirae; Kitrinoviricota; Alsuviricetes; Martellivirales; Closteroviridae
Rfam family: 3'-terminal pseudoknot in SPCSV (bases 1850-1910)
Source: RNAcentral